RNAcentral lists this ribosomal RNA (424 nucleotides) under uncultured bacterium. Its description in RNAcentral is "partial 16S ribosomal RNA". It matches the Rfam family "Bacterial small subunit ribosomal RNA", at positions 360 to 776 of the family's 1533-position model. The record is from RNAcentral.
AAUUUGGGACAAUGGGGGAAACCCUGAUCCAGCCAGCCCGCUUGUAUUAAUAAUGCCUNCGGGUUNUNAAGUACUUUUAGCAGAGNCGAAUAGGUAUCGCCUAAUACGGGAUAAUUCUGACGGUAUCUGCAGAAUUAGCACCGGCUAACUACGUGCCAGCACCCGCGGUAAGACGUAGGGUGUAAGCGUUAAUCGGAAUUACUGGGCGGAAAACGUGUGUAGGCGGUUCGGAAAGAAAGAUGUGAUCUCCCAGGGCUCAUCCAAGGAACUGCUUUUUUAACUGCCGGGCUGGCGUAAGUUAGAGGGGGGUAGAAGUCCACGUGUAGCAGUGAUAUACGUCGAUAUGUGAAGGAAUACCGAUGGUGAAGGCAGCCACCUGGGAUAAUACUGACGCUCAGAAACGAAAGCGUGGGGAGCAAACAGG